Molecule: ribosomal RNA, 253 nt
Filed under: uncultured bacterium
Lineage: Bacteria
Description: partial 16S ribosomal RNA
Rfam family: Bacterial small subunit ribosomal RNA
Source: RNAcentral
UACGUAGGGUGCGAGCGUUGUCCGGAAUUAUUGGGCGUAAAGGGCUCGUAGGCGGUUUGUCGCGUCGGGAGUGAAAACCCAGGGCUUAACCCUGGGCUGGCUUCCGAUACGGGCAGACUAGAGGUAUGCAGGGGAGAACGGAAUUCCUGGUGUAGCGGUGAAAUGCGCAGAUAUCAGGAGGAACACCAGUGGCGAAGGCGGAGACCUGGGCCGAUACUGACGCUGAGGUGCGAAAGCGUGGGGAGCAAACAGG